Non-coding RNA from Caenorhabditis elegans, 280 nucleotides. NCBI's taxonomy places the organism in Eukaryota, Metazoa, Nematoda, Chromadorea, Rhabditida, Rhabditidae. The record is from Ensembl.
CAUCUAAUCCUAACAUUCAAUCUAAAUUGUGCAACUGACGUUUUUGAAGAAAAGAUGAGAGAUGGCAACGACAACAGAUUAUUGCAUCCAUAUGUCCCUCCUCUCCUUCGAAACCCGAACCCAAACCCACAUUAUGUCUUUGUCACUACUGUCUUUCGUUCUACCCAUUCCGAACAUUCGAGAUGGGUGGACUGGAUGGACCAAACAGAUAUUUUGUGGUUUUGGUUUUGCCAGACGGACUUAUGCGCCAACAGCCACAAAAACAUCAAAAGAAAAAGAC